ACCAGGUUGGCCGAGUGGUUAAGGCGCCAGACUUAAGAUCUGGUCUCUGUUAAUAGAGACGAGGGUUCGAUCCCCUCACCUGGUA
Daphnia magna is the source of this 85-nucleotide transfer RNA. It matches the Rfam family "tRNA". From Rfam's summary of the family: Transfer RNA (tRNA) molecules are approximately 80 nucleotides in length. NCBI's taxonomy places the organism in Eukaryota, Metazoa, Arthropoda, Branchiopoda, Diplostraca, Daphniidae. The record is from Rfam.